UACGUAGGGUGCGAGCGUUGUCCGGAAUUACUGGGCGUAAAGAGCUCGUAGGUGGUUUGUCACGUCGUCUGUGAAAUUCCGGGGCUUAACCUCGGGCGUGCAGGCGAUACGGGCAAUACUUGAGUGCUGUAGGGGAGACUGGAAUUCCUGGUGUAGCGGUGAAAUGCGCAGAUAUCAGGAGGAAUACCGAUGGCGAAGGCAGGUCUCUGGGCAGUUACUGACGCUGAGGAGCGAAAGCAUGGGUAGCGAACAGGAUUAGA
RNAcentral lists this ribosomal RNA (260 nucleotides) under uncultured prokaryote. RNAcentral describes it as "partial 16S ribosomal RNA". It matches the Rfam family "Bacterial small subunit ribosomal RNA", at positions 524 to 782 of the family's 1533-position model. The record is from RNAcentral.